GCCGCCGCAGCGCCUGACGGGAGGCGGAGAACGAACGACGGUGUCGGCCAUUUUGUGUCGGCUUCGUGUGGGACGCGGUGGUG
RNAcentral lists this microRNA precursor (83 nucleotides) under Dipodomys ordii (Ord's kangaroo rat). RNAcentral describes it as "mir-632 microRNA precursor family". It matches the Rfam family "mir-632 microRNA precursor family". Lineage: Eukaryota; Metazoa; Chordata; Mammalia; Rodentia; Heteromyidae. The record is from Rfam by way of RNAcentral.